This 581-nucleotide small RNA is filed under the name Pongo abelii (Sumatran orangutan). RNAcentral describes it as "processed transcript". Lineage: Eukaryota; Metazoa; Chordata; Mammalia; Primates; Hominidae. The record is from RNAcentral.
GACCCUCCAAAGGUUUACCCACCUGUCCCAGCUGAGAAGAGGAAGCCCAUCCGGGUGCUGUCUCUCUUUGAUGGAAUUGCUACAGGCUCACCUGCCAAGACCAGGGUGCCAGGGAGAUGGCUCCAAGUAACGGUGCUGUCUGCUGGCUGGUGCAGGGCUCCUGGUGCUGAAGGACUUGGGCAUUCAGGUGGACCGCUACAUUGCCUCGGAGGUGUGUGAGGACUCCAUCACGGUGGGCAUGGUGCGGCACCAGGGGAAGAUCAUGUACGUCGGGGACGUCCGCAGCGUCACACAGAAGCAUAUCCAGGAGUGGGGCCCAUUCGAUCUGGUGAUUGGGGGCAGUCCCUGCAAUGACCUCUCCAUCGUCAACCCUGCUCGCAAGGGCCUCUACGAGGGCACUGGCCGGCUCUUCUUUGAGUUCUACCGCCUCCUGCAUGAUGCGCGGCCCAAGGAGGGAGAUGAUCGCCCCUUCUUCUGGCUCUUUGAGAAUGUGGUGGCCAUGGGCGUUAGUGACAAGAGGGACAUCUCGCGAUUUCUCGAGUCCAACCCUGUGAUGAUUGAUGCCAAAGAAGUGUCAGCUG